AUUGAACGCUGGCGGCAGGCCUAACACAUGCAAGUCGAACGAGUGGCGGACGGGUGAGAAAUGUCUGGGAAACUGCCUGAUGGAGGGGGAUAACUACUGGAAACGGUAGCUAAUACCGCAUACCAUCGGAUGUGCCCAGAUGGGAUUAGCUAGUAGGUGGGGUAAAGGCUCACCUAGGCGACGAUCCCUAGCUGGUCUGAGAGGAUGAACAGCCACUCUGGAACGGAGACACGGUCCAGACUCCUACGAGAGGCAGCAGUUGGGAAUAUUGCACAAUGGGCGCAAGCCUGAUGCAGCCAUGCCGCGUGUAUGAAGAGGGCCUUCGGGUUUUAAAGUACUUUCAGCGGGAAGGCGUUACCCGCAGAAGGGGCACCGGCUAGCUCCGUGCCAGCAGCCGCGGUGAUAC
Molecule: ribosomal RNA, 406 nt
Filed under: uncultured bacterium
Lineage: Bacteria
Description: partial 16S ribosomal RNA
Rfam family: Bacterial small subunit ribosomal RNA
Source: RNAcentral